Molecule: ribosomal RNA, 478 nt
Filed under: uncultured bacterium
Lineage: Bacteria
Description: partial 16S ribosomal RNA
Rfam family: Bacterial small subunit ribosomal RNA
Source: RNAcentral
GACGAACGCUGGCGGCGUGCUUAACACAUGCAAGUCGAACGGUAAGGCCCUUCGGGGUACACGAGUGGCGAACGGGUGAGUAACACGUGGGUGAUCUGCCCUGCACUUCGGGAGAAGCCUGGGAAACUGGGUCUAAUACCGGAUAGUACCACUUCCUGCAUGAGCGGGGGUGGAAAGCUUUUGCGGUGUGGGAUGGGCCCGCGGCCUGUCAGCGUGUUGGUGGGGUGAUGGCCUACCAAGGAGACGACGGGUAGCCGGCCUGAGAGGGUGACCGGCCACACUGGGACGGAGAUACGGCCCAGACUCCUACGGGAGGCAGCAGUGGGGAAUAUUGCACAAUGGGCGCAAGCCUGAUGCAGCGACGCCGCGUGAGGGAUGACGGCCUUCGGGUUGUAAACCUCUUUCAGCACCGACGAAGCGCAAGUGACGGUAGGUGCAGAAGAAGGACCGGCCAACUACGUGCCAGCCGCCGCCGUAA